Molecule: ribosomal RNA, 406 nt
Filed under: uncultured bacterium
Lineage: Bacteria
Description: partial 16S ribosomal RNA
Rfam family: Bacterial small subunit ribosomal RNA
Source: RNAcentral
AUUGAACGCUUGCGGCAGGCCUAACACAUGCAAGUCGAACGAGUGGCGGACGGGUGAGUAAUGUCUGGGAAACUUCCCGAUGGAGGGGGAUAACUACUGGAAACGGUAGCUAAUACCGCAUACCAUCGGAUGUGCCCAGAUGGGAUUAGCUAGUAGGUGGGGUAACGGCUCACAUAGGCGACGAUCGCUAGCUGGUCUGAGAGGAUGACCAGCCACACGGGAAAGGAGACAAGGUCAAGAAUCCGACGGGAGGCAGAAGUGGGGAAUAUUGCACAAUGGGAGCAAGCCUGAUGCAGCAAUGCCGCGGGUAUGAAGAAGGCCUUCGGGUGGUAAAGUAAUUUAAGCGGGGAGGCGUUACCCGCAGAAGAAGCACCGGCUAACUCCGUGCCAGCAGCCGCGGUAAUAC